This 625-nucleotide ribosomal RNA is filed under the name Nakaseomyces nivariensis. Its description in RNAcentral is "eukaryotic LSU rRNA". It matches the Rfam family "Eukaryotic large subunit ribosomal RNA", at positions 37 to 667 of the family's 3401-position model. The record is from RNAcentral. Lineage: Eukaryota; Fungi; Ascomycota; Saccharomycetes; Saccharomycetales; Saccharomycetaceae.
UGCAUAUCAAAAAGCUGAGGAAAAGAAACCAACUGGGAUUGCCUUAGUAACGGCGAGUGAAGCGGCAAAAGCUCAAAUUUGAAAUCUGGUACCUUUGGUGCCCGAGUUGUAAUUUGUAGAGUACCACUUUGGGACUAUACUUUGCCUAUGUUCCUUGGAACAGGACGUCAUGGAGGGUGAGAAUCCCGUGUGGCGAGGGUGUUAGUUCUUUGUAAAGGGUGCUCGAAGAGUCGAGUUGUUUGGGAAUGCAGCUCUAAGUGGGUGGUAAAUUCCAUCUAAAGCUAAAUACAGGCGAGAGACCGAUAGCGAACAAGUACAGUGAUGGAAAGAUGAAAAGAACUUUGAAAAGAGAGUGAAAAAGUACGUGAAAUUGUUGAAAGGGAAGGGCAUUUGAUCAGACAUGGUGUUUUGCGCCCCUCGCUCCUUGUGGGUGGGGGACUCUCGCAGCUCACUGGGCCAGCAUCAGUUUUUGCGGCAGGACAAAACCUUGGGAAUGUAGCUGUGCGCCUCGGUGUACAGUGUUAUAGCUCUUGGGAAUACUGCCAGCGGGGACUGAGGACUGCGAUACUUGUUAUCUAGGAUGCUGGCAUAAUGGUUAUAUGCCGCCCGUCUUGAAACACGGACC